UACUACUAUUACUACUACCGCUGCUGAUCAUAGUACUAUGUAUAAUGAAGAAGAAAAGGGGAAAAAAAAAAGAACUAUAACAUUUAGUGAUGCUAUAAGUAUAGGAAGCAAAAUUAAAAAGUCAAUUUUCAAAUUGGGUUCAAAUAAAGAAACAGAUGCAGAACAAAAUAAAAAUGUUUCCUUUUUGAUAACUGGUUCGACAGAACAUGUGGUAGACGAAUCAAAAAAUGAUAACAAAAUAGAACCAUUGAUAUCAUGUAUGAGUACAUCUAAUAAAAGCGAUGAGAAUAAGGUAUCUGAUAAUAUAAAUUAUGAUAAUAUUAAAAACAGAAAACGUAGAAGAAACAUAGAUAUAAAUAACAACAGUAACGAAGAAGAAGAAGAAGAAGAAGAAGAAAAACCUAGUGUGAAUAACACAAAGUUUGGUAAUAAUAAUCAAUUAGAAGCUAAGAUGCCAUCUGCUUUUGCAACAGACUCGUUGAAUAUACGAAACAUACCGAAUAAUUUUGUUGAUAUUAAAAAAAACAAAACAGGUGCUAAAAAUAACAAUACGUUAGAUAAUAAUAAUAUUAGUACAGAUAGUGGUACUGUAAGUACUAUAAGGGAGGACAAUUUUUUUUUUAAAAAAAGUAAAGUUGGUAUAGCUUUGAAUAAUACGAAAGACAUACUGAAUACACUAAGUGGUGAUAAUAUUCUAAAUCAAAAAAAUAUAAAUAUGCUUUCAGAAAAUAAUACAAAUAACAGUUUCAACGAAAGUAAAUUGAUCCAGCCAAACCUUGACACAAACAAUAUACUUUCAUUUAAUAAACAAAUAACAAAUCAAACAAAUAAUGAGUUAAAUCAAAAUCAAACAAUUCUUGGAACUGGUCUUUUUAACAACGUGCUUAAUACAUAUACGAGCAGUACGGGCGAAAUUGAUAGAAAAACAGUCCUUAAUAUUAAUAAAAAUAAACAAAUAAUGGAUAAUAACAUAAAUACAACAUUAUUAACAAACCAAGGUGGUUUUAAACAGACUAAAAUAAACGAACAAGAUGAUUUUAGUAGAGAAACUUUACCAAACGGAUUAGUCAAACCAAACAUACCAUCUGAGCCAAAGGAUUUAACUAUAACAAAUCCGCAAAGCAAACCAAACGAACUAACUAAAUUAAAUCAGUCAAGUGUACAAUAUAAUUAUCCCCUUGACAGAAACAGUUAUGUAAUUAACGAAACCGAAACGAAUAUGAUAAAAAAAGAACAAAAAGUUACUGAUAAAAAAAAUAUUAACCGAAUUAUUACAUAUAAUAAAAAUAUUUUUUUUAAUAACGUAGACAUAGAUUUAGAUAAAGAUGUAAUAGAUUUGAACGAAUUAAAAAAAAAUUUACUUUUAUGUGCAUUGAAUUUUCAUUUAUCUUACUGGGCUCAGAAAGUUAUGUUGUUUUAUCCACAUAAUGAGAGUAUUAUCAAAUACUGUGAUAAAAUUAUAAAAAUAAAAAAACAAUUUGAUGAAACGUAUGAUUUUUCUUUAUUUGAAAACAUACACAUGAUAUCGAAAAAACUUUUAAAAAAAAUUGAUAAAAAUUAUUGUAUUUAUGAAAGUGUUUUAUUUUUAUCAGCUGAAAAUAUUUAUGUAUUAAAAAAUGCCAAACUAUCUUUAUUUGAUGCGUUUAAUGUAUAUCAUUUUUGGUAUCAAAAAAAUAGUUCCAAUGUAAAAAAGGAUUUUCAAAUUUUUAUGUAUACUAGCAAAAUUUAUCCUUGCUAUCUAAAUUAUUAUAUGAAUUUGUACAAGAAAUACAACACACAGGAUGACAAACAGAUGCAAAUGAAUGGCCAAUCGGCAACUGACGGCGUAUCCGAGUGUUUAGGUAAUAGAUUACUUAAAAAAAUGACAAAAAAAAAUGACAAAAAAAAAUGACAAAAAAAAAUGACAAAAAAAAUGACAAAAAAAAAAAAAAUGAACAUACGCAAAUUUACAUACAUGACCAUAAACUUACAUACAUAUACAUAAAGUUGCGUAAAUAUACAUGAACNNNNNNNNNNNNNNNNNNNNNNNNNNNNNNNNNNNNNNNNNNNNNNNNNNNNNNNNNNNNNNNNNNNNNNNNNNNNNNNNNNNNNNNNNNNNNNNNNNNNUUUUUUUUUUUUCUAUAUAUUUAACAAAAAAAAAAAAAAUAGCAGGCAACAUGUUGAACAAUGGAUGUAACACCGAUAAAAACAUGGACCAACAAUACGAUUAUACUUCAUAUGGGAAGAAGGACGAACAAGAGACAGAUGAAAGUGAGUAUACCAGUGACUCGUAUUAUUAUGAUAAGAAAAGUGAUAUUGAUAGUAAUACUAUUUCGAAAACAAAAAUGAUGAACAUGAACAUAAAUAACAUGAACACAUCCG
Piliocolobus tephrosceles (Ugandan red Colobus) is the source of this 2361-nucleotide long non-coding RNA. Lineage: Eukaryota; Metazoa; Chordata; Mammalia; Primates; Cercopithecidae. The record is from Ensembl.